Molecule: unclassified non-coding RNA, 250 nt
Filed under: plant metagenome
Description: partial contains small subunit ribosomal RNA, internal transcribed spacer 1, and 5.8S ribosomal RNA
Rfam family: 5.8S ribosomal RNA (bases 179-250)
Source: RNAcentral
GUUGGUGAACCAGCGGAGGGAUCAUUACAGAGUUGUAAAACUCCAAAACCCAUGUGAACAUACCUCAGUUGCCUCGGCGGACGUGCUCUGCAGCUACCCAGUAGCUACCCAGCACCCCGCCGAAGGACCCUAAACUCUUGUUUUAAUGUAUCUCUGAGAAAAACUUUAAAUAAGUCAAAACUUUCAACAACGGAUCUCUUGGUUCUGGCAUCGAUGAAGAACGCAGCAUCUGACUGACUAAGAUUCGGCG